This 88-nucleotide microRNA precursor is filed under the name Canis lupus familiaris (dog). RNAcentral describes it as "mir-8799 microRNA precursor family". It matches the Rfam family "mir-8799 microRNA precursor family". RNAcentral also lists the same sequence under 1 other name. The record is from Rfam by way of RNAcentral. Lineage: Eukaryota; Metazoa; Chordata; Mammalia; Carnivora; Canidae.
CGGGGGAGGCGGGAUCCUGGGCUGUGUCCCUGCGCCCUGUGCUCCGGGGCCUGCGCUGUUGGAUUCGCGCUCCCGCCUGCAGCCCCCU